Molecule: transfer RNA, 72 nt
Filed under: Oxalis frutescens
Lineage: Eukaryota; Viridiplantae; Streptophyta; Magnoliopsida; Oxalidales; Oxalidaceae
Description: partial tRNA-Leu
Source: RNAcentral
CGGGUAGACGCUACGGASUUAAAAAAUCCGUCGACUUUAGAAAUCGUGAGGGUUCAAGUCCCUCUAUCCCCA